CAGGGGGUUAGCAAUAUGGAGUAUGUUUCUGAAUGGAGAGCUUAGAUUUCCUCUUCUUUCUUUCUCUUGGUUGAGGAGUUGGUGGUAACUUAAAGGAGAGGCUUGUCUGGCAUGGCAAAGUUGUGGGAAUUUCUUGCUGAAACACUGGUCUUACAGCUUAGAAUCCAGAAAAGAAAGUGAAGAAGAAUCAAAUAUGAAAUUACUCUUCUGCUGCACUCAGAAGUAUCAGAGAUACUGUACUGUUGUCAUCAGCUGAACAAAGAAGCCCACAGUGGACAAAUACAGCAGGAUAAGUCUAUUCUCCUGCUCAUCCUUACCCAAAUAGGCUCUGACUGGUGCAUGCCACUCCCUCUGAAGUCAGUGGAGCUGUGAGGAAUCACCUGUGUGGCGGUGCUCACCUGACCAGACCUUCAUCAGAUAUAAAUCUCACAGGCUUCCUGCUUCAGUGAGGUUGCAGUAAUUUAUUGUGUAUGUUGCAGUGUUUCUUGCAAGUCAGCUGGCAAUUGCCUGGAGAUCUGUCUCCCUUAGGAGUUUUGCCUGGGGAUUAUCUGUCUACCCUGCUGCACUAUCUGCUGCUCUCCUUUGCCUGUAAUUAUAGGUGGCAGCUCUGUUAGAUUCUGCACUAAGAAAGUGUUCUUUAUAUCCCACUUAAGCAAAGACAGAAUAAAUACUUACAAGGUAGUUUUGGGCUCCAUAUUAUCUGAUCUCUCCUUGUCUGUCUCUCUCUGAUUUCCAGCCCUCAGAUUGGAAGGGCUAUCUCCACCAGUUGCUCCAUUGUGCUCUUUGGUUCCUCCAUUGACACUCUUUGGUUGUGCUUUUUUGGCAUCUAGCCCAGGCCCCUCACUGCCAUCAUUUGUCUCACAAAUGAUUACUGGAUUACUUCAGCAUGACUUGACCCAGAAACAGGAGUGGCGCUUUGAGAUCGAAACCUCUGCUGUGGCUGGAUGUAGUAAUAGUGUCAGUAUGGAACACCCUUGUUUGGAAUUGUUUUUUGAUAUGUCCAAGCUGGUGUUUUUGAUCUGUAACAGAGGUUAGCCCUAUCUUUCUGCUAGGUAGGCAGAGAUGCAUUCAAAGGAUAGCUUUUCUCUGAGAGAGGAGUGAACAGCUUCACCAGAGAAGAAAAAAUAUCUGUGUUGUGUUUUCCCCUGUAGAAGGAACUGGGUGAAACUGAUUUCAUUCCAUAGUUGCCUGUGCCUUUUUGUCCUGUUUCUUUCAGCAGAUUAGUGUGCCAGUCUGAGCUUUUCAAAUAGAGCAGGACAGAAUAUAGAGACAGGCAGGAGAGAAGUUCAGGGAAAAAGCAUCCCAAAAGAAUCUACCACUUUUCUCCAAAUGUAAAGUACUAAGAGAAGAUGCUUGUAGAGGAUGAAAAUGCUGGCUGUAGUUUCUGUGAUUGAUUACAAGGAUGCAUGAAUGCUGGGGAACGGCCUACAAAGCAGACCACAAAAGGUUGUUGAGUAUAGAAACAUAGAAUUGAGAAAAGGGGAAAUAGCAGUCUGGAAAGAAUUGAAAUUGUCCUGGUGAGACAUUUUUAACAAGCUGUAGGUAAUUUCAUCAAGGGAAGUGAGGGGGUUAAGAAGUUAACUGGAGAAAUAAUAAGAAAUAUGCUCUAAGGACUAAUUUUCUGUCAGCAGUAUGAGUUAAUGACCUAGCUGGUCCUUUGGUUUCCUUACAUCUCUCAUGCCUACUGUUCUGUGAGCAGCACCUUCUAGUCAUUAGGAAUAAGACUAUGUAAAACAAGUAGUGUUACUGAAACUACUGAUUUACUUUCAGUGAGUUGAUCUUCCAGACAUCUUGGCCAUGAGAAAGCUUUCAUGCUGUAGAAGAUAGAAUGGAUAUGGGGCAAGUAGAGUCCAAAACUGAAACUUCCUUUCUGCUUUCCCUAUAAGGCCUUGAGUUGUUUCUGUCUCCAGGAAGGAUAUUCUUCUGAGACCUGGCCUUGCAAUCUGUUCUUACAAAGCUAUGGUAGUUCACUAUCGCUCCUACACCUAUGGGCUGAGUUGUGCUAACUUUCUGUAUGCUUCUUGGGGCUUUUUAAAGGCAGAUAGAUGAUUUUUUUUUUUAUUUUAUUUUUUUUUACAUCAGGUCUCAUGAGUUUGUGCUGUUUGGUGAUGCAAAACAGACAGGAAGCUUUGUGAUCAUCCUU
This is a long non-coding RNA of Pogoniulus pusillus (Red-fronted tinkerbird), 2143 nucleotides long. RefSeq lists it as uncharacterized. NCBI's taxonomy places the organism in Eukaryota, Metazoa, Chordata, Aves, Piciformes, Lybiidae. The record is from RefSeq and is a predicted model, not a curated record. The transcript is spliced from 3 exons.